This 572-nucleotide long non-coding RNA is filed under the name Calidris pygmaea (Spoon-billed sandpiper). Its description in RNAcentral is "lncRNA (ENSCPGG00000003833.1)". Lineage: Eukaryota; Metazoa; Chordata; Aves; Charadriiformes; Scolopacidae. The record is from RNAcentral.
AGAUGAAUCUCUCCAACAUAUAUUCAAUUUUGGUUUAGCAUAAGGGAAUGGAUUGUUAUUUUGUUAUUAUUUUUAUUCACAGGGACUCACGUGUUGCAAAACCAGGGUGACAUCUACAGCAUCAGUUAACAAACAAGACGAGAAUGGCCAUGCUUCUACACAGGGUCAUAUGGAUGACAGUGAAGUCUUUCUUGCCCACCUUGGAUAAAGGAUGAGUAACAUGACCUGAGAGAGAGAGGUUUUGGUACUUUCCAUGUCCUCAUGGUCCCCCUCUCAGCUUCAUAUUUCUUUGUAUGCCCUGCAUCUUGGAACAUCUGUUCUUGUUUUGCUUCAUUUAACUUCAGCAUGCAUAUUUCUGCUGCUGCUGCUCUAGAAAUUAAUGUUUUGAUCACAACCCUACACAGGGGUUAUUUUAAACCUGACCCCUUCUUCCUCCUGUGACCCAGUUCAUGAUCAUAAGGGAAAUGCUUAGUAAUCUUGCUUUCAGAAGUGAAAGCGAAAAAUCCAACCACUCUAUUAAUGCCACCUCAACAGCUGGGAAAUAAAACACAGUGAGUAAUUUUUCCCUUGCA